Molecule: long non-coding RNA, 273 nt
Filed under: Salvia miltiorrhiza (redroot sage)
Lineage: Eukaryota; Viridiplantae; Streptophyta; Magnoliopsida; Lamiales; Lamiaceae
Description: long non-coding RNA (SMIL_LNC000296)
Source: RNAcentral
CCGACUUCCCUUCGUCUGUUUGAGAGUAUCCGCAAAAGAUCGACUGGAUUGCUGUGCUUUAGAUUGACCAUUCCCGUCGAACUGUUCCAGUGGCGGCAUAGCCGAGGUCGGCCCCCCAAGCCGAAGAGCAGGCACCUUCGGAGCAGACGGGACGGCCAUCGCAGGGUUUGGUUGAGUAGUAAAAGAUUGAGGCUGCUUAGGAAAAUUGUUAGAGACGACCGGCAGAUUGAGCGCCCCUCUGUCGCCCGGUGAACUGAGUCCACCGAAAGCCAA